This 89-nucleotide transfer RNA is filed under the name Neolewinella marina. RNAcentral's name for it is "Lewinella marina tRNA-Leu". It matches the Rfam family "tRNA". From Rfam's summary of the family: Transfer RNA (tRNA) molecules are approximately 80 nucleotides in length. Their secondary structure includes four short double-helical elements and three loops (D, anti-codon, and T loops). The record is from RNAcentral. Lineage: Bacteria; Pseudomonadati; Bacteroidota; Saprospiria; Saprospirales; Lewinellaceae. RNAcentral also lists the same sequence under 1 other name.
GCCCGGAUGGCGGAAUUGGUAGACGCGCUGGACUUAAAAUCCAGUUCUCAGUACUGAGAGUACGGGUUCGAUUCCCGUUCCGGGUACAA